GAGUAUUCAAAGGCAGACAAUGGUUAAACCUUCUAGCAUCCACCUUCAGGCUGUAUGAAGCUUUGCAGUGCCUGCAGCAUCCCUCCCCACGUAUGAGAAAGCAUGGAGCAGAGCUUGACAGGUUUGGGAGAAAAACAGUGAGGAUGAUGAAAGGGAUGGGAGCGUUUCCAUAUACAGAAUGGUCAGGCUGGCCAUGGGCAACGCUCUCCAUUCUUGGAUUCCUGUACUGCUACUCUCACGUCGGAAUUGAAUGGGAGCAUACGUACGCAGUGAACUGAAAAUGACACAGAGCUGGCUCCCCCACAUCUCCGCAUCCUGCCUCCAGGCCAACCAUUUCAUCGGUUCCCAGCGCUGCGUGGCAAACAUGGUACCUGGCAUAGCUGGGCCUGCUGUGGCAAACACUGUCCUACACGCGGGCUGCCUCCCGAGUGAGCCAAGCAAUGGUCCAGCCCCACAUCUCACCUGCUUGGGCCUCCAGCACAGGCAGRGCUGUAGCGUAAGUAGGUAAGUAACUGUCCUUUAGUACCGUGCCCACACACAGCCUUACCAAUGGGCC
RNAcentral lists this long non-coding RNA (556 nucleotides) under Apteryx rowi (Okarito brown kiwi). RNAcentral's name for it is "lncRNA (ENSARWG00000003926.1)". Lineage: Eukaryota; Metazoa; Chordata; Aves; Apterygiformes; Apterygidae. The record is from RNAcentral.